CCCUUAGAUGUUCUGGGCCGCACGCGCGCUACACUGACUACUUCAACGAGUUGUUUCCUUGAUCGAAAGGUCUGGGUAAUCUUUGAAAGGUAGUCGUGAUGGGGAUAGAUCCUUGCAAUUUUUGAUCUUCAACGAGGAAUUCCUAGUAAACGCAAGUCAUCAGCUUGCAUUGAUUACGUCCCUGCCCUUUGUACACACCGCCCGUCGCACCUACCGAUUGAAUGGUCCGGUGAAUCCUUAGGACUGUGGCUGAGGCCUUGCCUUGUGCGGGUCUGGCCGUGGGAAUUUAGUUAAACCUUACCAUUUAGAGGAAGGUGAAGUCGUAACA
This 328-nucleotide ribosomal RNA is filed under the name uncultured eukaryote. Its description in RNAcentral is "partial 18S ribosomal RNA". It matches the Rfam family "Eukaryotic small subunit ribosomal RNA", at positions 1470 to 1796 of the family's 1831-position model. The record is from RNAcentral.